Molecule: long non-coding RNA, 479 nt
Organism: Cygnus olor (mute swan)
Lineage: Eukaryota; Metazoa; Chordata; Aves; Anseriformes; Anatidae
Exons: 5
Source: RefSeq, a predicted model, not a curated record
ACAGAUCUGUUACCAUGCCCAUUUUUAACAGUCUUGAAUAAGAAGAAAUUGGACCCGUGGAUAAGGAGUUCAAGAUUCAUCGUUGUCCUACCAGCAGAACCACUGUUCCCCAAAAGAAAAGCUUCAAGAAUUAUUAUGAAGGAUAUGAAGGGCAUAUUCUGAAUAAGAGCGGCCAUGGCCAGAGAGCUUCACAGAAAGAGUUCAGGCUCAGAAGAACUGACUUUGUCAACUAUUUACAGGAACUGACCACAGUUGCCCUUAUUUUCCUGGAUUCACUUUAUGGCCAAAAGCAUGGGAUGGUGAUUUCCUUCAGUCCUGGAGAUAAAUGAUGCUUUCUGGAGGCAGAGCACUGAGGAUUACUUUUACAGAAAUACAGCACACAAAGUAAAUCCCUGUUAGCGUGUCAUUAUUUGAGCAAGUCACAGGCACUGAGGCUGGGAGAUGGACCCUGGACGUACACAACUAAAGAUCUGCUCUCU